RNAcentral lists this long non-coding RNA (2212 nucleotides) under Nicotiana benthamiana. RNAcentral describes it as "long non-coding RNA (NBEN_LNC030233)". The record is from RNAcentral. Lineage: Eukaryota; Viridiplantae; Streptophyta; Magnoliopsida; Solanales; Solanaceae.
AAAGAUAGCACAUAACAUAUAAUUUAUCCAUAUAUUGUUCAUAUGUGUGUAGAUAUAAGUCCAUAUAUCUAGAUAUAAAUCCAUAUAUCUUACAAAAGGCACAUAGGAUUUUUUUAUAGGAAUUAUUUCAAAUAGAAUCUGGCUUAUUUUUUGUGAAAACUUAAAUUUAAGUUGUAUUUACUUUUGUAAAAUAUUUCACCUUGAUUUUACGAAAUACUUUUUCGAAACAAAUGACUACUGAAGAUAUUCAAAAGGAAGCUUAAUCUUUUUUCUUAGAACUAGAAUUCAAGGACGAUCUAUGCAGUUGGUAAAAUAAUAGAAAAUCGUAGUUCAAAUUCUAACAAAAACAAAAGAUUAAUGCUAGAUGAUCUUUCCUAUUUGCCUUAGGCAAAAUUGACCAAUAUAUAUGCUAGUGGAAGAUAUCAUAUAUCUAAUAACAUAAUCAAAGGGAGGAGGACUAGUUCGAACAGCACUGCCAUAAAAAUUUCUGAAAUAAAAGAGGCACUUUACUGAGUAUUAUAACUAUACUUCGUAGUUGGUCAAAUAAGGUUGGGGGUAAAUGGCCGUUUGGACAUAAAGAAUUGUAAAAUUCAGAAAAAAAAGAAAAAAAUUUAAGAGAAAAUUUCACUUUUAACCCAUUAAAUUCAAACUAUUUACUCUUAAAUAUUCAUACCUAAACUAUUUACUUUUCUUACCUAUGCAGAAAUACUAUUUACCUGCCCACAUUAGAAUACCUACGCAUCGAAUUACUGCUCUCGCUCGCAAUUUGUAUUGGGUUUAUAUUGAGAUCUAAUCCUUCUCUCGCUCAUUUUGCUGGUCGCUCCUCUUAAUCCUCUCUAUAUCUCUCUCUAUCUAUCUAUGUACUUUCUCUCUCUAGAUGCUAUUAGACCUUCAAUAGCUUCUCCUCUCGGCCUUAUGAUGAUUCUACAAUCUGAAGGUUCAAACUUUAUUUUUUAAUAUGUUUUUGACCGUUCCUAUUUCGUUUAUUGGUUUUUGUUGCUUUUUUAGACCUUAAAUUUGUUUUUCGUUUUAUUGGGAUUCUUUACUAGAUCGGUUGUUCUUCCGCUUCUCCGACAUUUGGAAGUUUUUAUUUAUUUGUUUAGUUUAUAUAUUUAUUUUGGAGAACAAGAGUAACAUUUGUUAAUCAAAUAGUAAUCUCUUAUUUAUAUACGUUUUUGAGUUUUUUGCUAAUCCAAUAUGCAAUAUAAAAAUCUCUCUUGAAUAGAGAUUACUAUUUGAUUUCUUAUUGAAAUAAUUGACAUAAUUAAGCAUGAAAAUUACUAGUGGUAUAACAGUAUACCUUUAUAAUUUUGGUCCUUUUUAAAUUUAUUGAAUUUUUUUACUGGAAUGUUUUUAAAUGUUUAAUGGAGUAUUUACGCCUUUUUCAAAUUUUUAUUAAACACAAAUAUUUACUUUCAAAUGUUGAAUGAAGGUUGUGGCUAAAGUUGAGCAAAUUUGAUGGAGUUUCCAAAUUAAAGUUGUAAAAUUUGGGUUGAAGUUGAGUUGAACUUACGAAAAAAAAUGAAUUUGUACUAUAUACCAAAAAUAGUAUAUAUGUAUACCAAUUUAGUAUCAUAGAGGACUGAGCUCUUUUUUGAAGGAAUGAAUCAUACCUAUAUCAUAUCAGUAAUGAUAUAUACCAUAUGUGUAUAUCAUAAAGGACUGUCGAGUAUUCUUUUUUGUUAAAGGAAUGAACCAGUUCUCCAUGAUACUCUGUUAGUAUAUGAAUAUACUAAGCUGGUAUCUUUUUCAUUGGAACCUUUUUCAAUAUCUCAGUAGAGUUUUCACGUUUUUUCCUUUUUUCUGAAAUAAAAAUACUUAUUUUGAAAUGUUCAAUGAAGACUGUGGCGAGCUAAUUUGGUGGAGAUUUUGCACUAGAGCUGUGAAGUUUGGCUUGAAAUGAUGUUGAGUUAGCGAAGUAGAUGAAUUUGUAUUAUAUACAAAAAGAGAAUAUCUCACUUUAUACCCAUUAAAUUCAAACUAUUGACGGACCUUGAAGCUUGAAACUCAUAACUUGGUUUGUUUAUGUUUUUAAUUGUUGUAAUCUGAUCCUGUAUGGGUUAGUUUGGAAGAUGAUUGGAGGUUGUAGCUAAAGUUUUAGUUAAUUUGGUGGAGAUUUUGUAGUAAAUUUUAGAAAUUUGGGUUGAAAUAUAGUUGAACAAGAGAAGAAGACGAAUUUGUAUUGUAUACCCAUAUAGUAUACAAAUAUACC